This 253-nucleotide ribosomal RNA is filed under the name uncultured bacterium. RNAcentral's name for it is "partial 16S ribosomal RNA". It matches the Rfam family "Bacterial small subunit ribosomal RNA", at positions 524 to 776 of the family's 1533-position model. The record is from RNAcentral.
UACGUAGGGGGCAAGCGUUGUCCGGAAUCAUUGGGCGUAAAGCGCGUGUAGGCGGCCCGGUAAGUCCGCUGUGAAAGUCCAGGGCUCAACCCUGGGAUGCCGGUGGAUACUGUCGGGCUCGAGUCCGGAAGAGGAGUGUGGAAUUCCUGGUGUAGCGGUGAAAUGCGCAGAUAUCAGGAGGAACACCGAUGGCGAAGGCAGGUCUCUGGGCAUUAACUGACGCUGAGGAGCGAAAGCAUGGGGAGCGAACAGG